Molecule: non-coding RNA, 80 nt
Organism: Paramuricea clavata
Lineage: Eukaryota; Metazoa; Cnidaria; Anthozoa; Malacalcyonacea; Plexauridae
Source: the annotation of a GenBank genome assembly
GACUGCAUAGCUCAGUUGGCAGAGCAUUGGGCUAGUAUUCCAAAGGUUGUAGGUUUGAUUCAAUGAUUCCCACCGUGGUC